Molecule: ribosomal RNA, 1243 nt
Filed under: metagenome
Description: bacterial LSU rRNA
Rfam family: Bacterial large subunit ribosomal RNA
Source: RNAcentral
UGAAUACGAGGCACUAAGGUGCUGAAGUAGUGUAUGUCAUACUUCCAAGAAAAGCUUGCACUAUCGUAAGAUAAAAAUGCCUGUACCAUAACCGACACAGGUGGGUAGGUAGAGUAUACUAAGGGGCGCGAGAUAACUCUCUCUAAGGAACUCGGCAAAAUAACUCCGUAACUUCGGGAGAAGGAGUGCCUUAUUCUAUAAGGUUGCAAUAACAAGAUCCAAGCAACUGUUUAUCAAAAACACAGGUCUCCGCUAAGUCGUAAGACGAUGUAUGGGGGCUGACGCCUGCCCAGUGCCAAGGUUAAAGAAGUCGGUUAGCAAUUGCGAAGCUGGUAACUGAAGCCCUGGUGAACGGCGGCCGUAACUAUAACGGUCCUAAGGUAGCGAAAUUCCUUGUCGGGUAAGUUCCGACCCGCACGAAAGGCGUAAUGAUUUGGAUACUGUCUCGGAGAGGGACUCGGUGAAAUAGACUUGUCUGUGAAGAUGCGGACUACCUGCACCAGGACAGAAAGACCCUAUGAAGCUUUACUGUAACUUGAAAUUGAAAUUGGACUUUAUUCGCGCAGUAUAGGUGGGAGGCGUUGAUUAUAAUCUUGUGGGAUUAUUGGAGCCAUUAGUGAGAUACCACUCUUGUAAUGUUAGAUUUCUAACUUUGAAUCAUGAUCUGGUCAAAGAACAGUUUCAGGCGGGCAGUUUGACUGGGGCGGUCGCCUCCUAAAUGGUAACGGAGGCGUACAAAGGUUUCCUCUGAACGGGUAGAAAUCGUAUCUAGAGUGUAAAGGCAUAAGGAAGCUUGACUGUGAGACCUACAAGUCGAGCAGGGACGAAAGUCGGUCUUAGUGAUCUGACGGUACUGAGUGGAAAGGCCGUCACUCAACGGAUAAAAGUUACUCUAGGGAUAACAGGCUGAUCUCCCCCAAGAGUUCACAUCGACGGGGAGGUUUGGCACCUCGAUGUCGGCUCAUCGCAUCCUGGGGCGGUAGUACGUCCCAAGGGUUGGGCUGUUCGCCCAUGAAAGCGGUACGCGAGCUGGGUUCAGAACGUCGCGAGACAGUUCGGUCCAUAUCCGGUGUAGGCGUUAGAAUAUUGAGAGGAGCCUUCUUUAGUACGAGAGGACCGAGAAGGACAUACCUCUGGUGUACCAGUUAUCGUGCCAACGGUAAACGCUGGGUAGCUAUGUAUGGAGUGGAUAACCGCUGAAAGCAUCUAAGUGGGAAGCCCACCUCAAGAUAAGUAUUCUCAC